Molecule: ribosomal RNA, 458 nt
Filed under: uncultured bacterium
Lineage: Bacteria
Description: partial 16S ribosomal RNA
Rfam family: Bacterial small subunit ribosomal RNA
Source: RNAcentral
CCUACGGGAGGCAGCAGUGAGGAAUAUUGGUCAAUGGGCGAGAGCCUGAACCAGCCAAGUCGCGUGAGGGAGUACUGCCCUAUGGGUUGUAAACCUCUUUUGUCGGGGAGCAAAAGCCGGACGUGUCCGGCUGUGAGAGUACCCGAAGAAAAAGCAUCGGCUAACUCCGUGCCAGCAGCCGCGGUAAUACGGAGGAUGCGAGCGUUAUCCGGAUUUAUUGGGUUUAAAGGGUGCGCAGGCGGAUUUUUAAGUCAGCGGUAAAAUCGUGGGGCUCAACCCCAUCCAGCCGUUGAAACUGGGGAUCUAGAGUGUGCGAGAGGUAUGCGGAAUGCGUGGUGUAGAGGUGAAAUGCAUAGAUAUCACGCAGAACCCCGAUUGCGAAGGCAGCAUACCGGUGCACAACUGACGCUCAGGCACGAAAGCGUGGGUAUCGAACAGGAUUAGAUACCCGAGUAGUC